RNAcentral lists this unclassified non-coding RNA (220 nucleotides) under Hevea brasiliensis (rubber tree). Lineage: Eukaryota; Viridiplantae; Streptophyta; Magnoliopsida; Malpighiales; Euphorbiaceae. The record is from RNAcentral.
UGUCUUCCUGUUGGUUUUAAUGAUACCAAGCAAUUUGAAAUGACUGAAGGACUGCACAAACGAUCAUCUGGAAGAAGUUCUAAUAGAAGUAUUGAACCAACUAUGUCUGGUAAUUCCGUUUAUGUUGAUUCAGACAUUUCAGGUGACCUGAGGAAUAAGGUUUAUGAGGCAGCAACCAGAGAAGGUGCCACAUUUCUGGAUCGAUGGUUUGUUGGCUGCA